CACAUGACUCUCGGCAACGGAUAUCUCGGCUCUCGCAUCGAUGAAGAACGUAGCAAAAUGCGAUACCUGGUGUGAAUUGCAGAAUCCCGUGAACCAUUGAGUUUUUGAACGCAAGUUGCGCCCGAGGCCUUCAGGCCGAGGGCACGUCUGCCUGGGCGUCACGC
Molecule: ribosomal RNA, 164 nt
Filed under: Leptochloa crinita
Lineage: Eukaryota; Viridiplantae; Streptophyta; Magnoliopsida; Poales; Poaceae
Also listed under: 3 other names
Description: 5.8S ribosomal RNA
Rfam family: 5.8S ribosomal RNA
About the family: 5.8S ribosomal RNA (5.8S rRNA) is a component of the large subunit of the eukaryotic ribosome. It is transcribed by RNA polymerase I as part of the 45S precursor that also contains 18S and 28S rRNA. Functionally, it is thought that 5.8S rRNA may be involved in ribosome translocation.
Source: RNAcentral